AAAAAGCUCCUUGCUGGAAAGUUCUUGAAUGAAAACACAGGCAAUGACGUACACAAACAUAAAUGGCAGAUGACUUUGUGCCAAUUAUCACCAGUAUUAUUUGACUGUGGUGUCUUAACUAUAUUUACCCUAUGGCGUUAAGUAAAUACCUACACACCUCCUGAGAAUUCUCUCUUCACAUCCAGCGCACUCCUGAUUCACAGAUAAACACAAUAUCACUGUUGUAUUUAAC
Molecule: non-coding RNA, 232 nt
Organism: Pelobates cultripes (western spadefoot toad)
Lineage: Eukaryota; Metazoa; Chordata; Amphibia; Anura; Pelobatidae
Source: the annotation of a GenBank genome assembly